RNAcentral lists this transfer RNA (65 nucleotides) under Agelena silvatica. RNAcentral describes it as "tRNA-Asp". The record is from RNAcentral. Lineage: Eukaryota; Metazoa; Arthropoda; Arachnida; Araneae; Agelenidae.
AGUAAUUUAGUUAAAUUAUAAUAUUAAUUUGUCAAGUUAAAGAUAAGAAUAUUCCUCAGUUAAUA